Molecule: ribosomal RNA, 505 nt
Filed under: uncultured bacterium
Lineage: Bacteria
Description: partial 16S ribosomal RNA
Source: RNAcentral
GGAGUUAGCCGGUGCUUCUUCUGUGAGUGAUGUCCUUCCUGCCGGCUAUUAACCCGCAGGCCUUCUUCCUCACUGAAAGUGCUUUACAACCCGAAGGCCUUCUUCACACACGCGGCAUGGCUGGAUCAGGGUUGCCCCCAUUGUCCAAUAUUCCCCACUGCUGCCUCCCGUAGGAGUCUGGGCCGUGUCUCAGUCCCAGUGUGGCUGAUCAUCCUCUCAGACCAGCUACGGAUCGUCGCCUUGGUGAGCCGUUACCUCACCAACCAGCUAAUCCGACAUAGGCUCAUCCGAUAGCGCGAGGCCCGAAGGUCCCCCGCUUUCCCCCGUAGGGCGUAUGCGGUAUUAGCCUGGGUUUCCCCAGGUUAUCCCCCACUACCGGGCAGAUUCCUAUGCAUUACUCACCCGUCCGCCGCUCGCCACCAGGGAGCAAGCUCCCCGUGCUGCCGCUCGACUUGCAUGUGUUAGGCCUGCCGCCAGCGUUCAAUCUGAGCAGANACGACCACGA